This 425-nucleotide ribosomal RNA is filed under the name uncultured bacterium. Its description in RNAcentral is "bacterial SSU rRNA". It matches the Rfam family "Bacterial small subunit ribosomal RNA", at positions 354 to 796 of the family's 1533-position model. The record is from RNAcentral.
GUCGGGAAUUUUGCUCAAUGGGCGAAAGCCUGAAGCAGCAACGCCGCGUGAGGGAUGAAGGCCUUCGGGUCGUAAACCUCUUUUUCCGGGGACGAUAAUGACGGUACCCGGUGAAUAAGCCACGGCUAACUACGUGCCAGCAGCCGCGGUAAUACGUAGGUGGCGAGCGUUGUCCGGAUUUACUGGGCGUAAAGAGCGCGCAGGCGGUCGUAUAAGUCGAAUGUGAAAGCCCCUGGCUCAACUAGGGAGAGUCAUUCGAUACUGUUCGACUCGAAGGCAGGAGAGGGAAGUGGAAUUCCGGGUGUAGUGGUGAAAUGCGUAGAUAUCCGGAGGAACACCAGUGGCGAAGGCGACUUUCUGGCCUGUUCUUGACGCUGAGGCGCGAAAGCUAGGGGAGCAAACGGGAUUAGAAACCCGGGUAGUCC